CCCUUAGAUGCUCUGGGCCGCACGCGCGCUACACUGGUCGAUGCAACGAGUUUCUUUCCUUGGCCGACAGGCCUGGGCAAUCUUUGAACACCGAUCGUGAUCGGGAUAGAUUCUUGUAAUUUUUGAUCUUAAACGAGGAAUUCCUAGUAAACGCAAGUCAUCAGCUUGCAUUGAUUACGUCCCUGCCCUUUGUACACACCGCCCGUCGCACCUACCGAUUGAAUGGUCCGGUGAAAUCUCCGGACUGGCGUGAGUCGGAGCAAUCUGACAAACGCCGGAAAGUUGAUUAAACCUUACCAUUUAGAGGAAGGUGAAGUCGUANCA
This 324-nucleotide ribosomal RNA is filed under the name uncultured eukaryote. Its description in RNAcentral is "partial 18S ribosomal RNA". It matches the Rfam family "Eukaryotic small subunit ribosomal RNA", at positions 1470 to 1796 of the family's 1831-position model. The record is from RNAcentral.